AACGAACGCUGGCGGCAUGCCUAACACAUGCAAGUCGAACGAGACCUUCGGGUCUAGUGGCGCACGGGUGCGUAACGCGUGGGAACCUGCCCUUAGGUUCGGAAUAACUCCCCGAAAGGGGUGCUAAUACCGGAUAAUGUCUUCGGACCAAAGAUUUAUCGCCUUUGGAUGGGCCCGCGUUGGAUUAGCUAGUUGGUAGGGUAAAAGCCUACCAAGGCGACGAUCCAUAGCUGGUCUGAGAGGAUGAUCAGCCACACUGGGACUGAGACACGGCCCAGACUCCUACGGGAGGAAGAGGGGGGGAAUAUUGGAGAAGGGGGGAAGGCCUGAUCCAGCAGUGCCGCGUGAGUGAUGAAGGCGUGAGGGUUGAAAAGCUUUUUUACCCGGGAGGAUAAGGACAGUACCGGAAAAAUAAGCCCCGGCAAACUCCGUG
This 433-nucleotide ribosomal RNA is filed under the name uncultured bacterium. RNAcentral describes it as "partial 16S ribosomal RNA". It matches the Rfam family "Bacterial small subunit ribosomal RNA", at positions 29 to 507 of the family's 1533-position model. The record is from RNAcentral.